RNAcentral lists this long non-coding RNA (371 nucleotides) under Columba livia (rock pigeon). Its description in RNAcentral is "partial uncharacterized LOC102097919". The record is from RNAcentral. Lineage: Eukaryota; Metazoa; Chordata; Aves; Columbiformes; Columbidae.
UUGGGGGAGGCUGAAAGUUGAGUCACGGAGUAUUUCGCCGGCCCCGCUUUACACCCUGCACUCAGUUUUUACCACUCUUCUGCCUACCUGUAUCAUAAACGCUCCAAACAUGUAGAGUGAAAAGCAAUUGACCGCCUUCACAUCAUCAUCUAAAGCCCACUGCAGUGAGAACUUAACAUUUGUUACGGUCCUGAAAAUAUAAACCAUGGGAAAUUGUUAACCCUGUCAGGGCCGGAUCCAAAGCCUGUUGAGUCAACCGGACACUUCAAAGGUCUUUGGAACAGGCCCUAUUAUAAGACAAAGUAGAACAGUGCCAGCAGGGCAGAUCGAGCAAUCCCCACACCUCGCAGCAGCCCUUCGUCUGAUCCUUC